AUACGUAGGGAGCGAGCGUUGUCCGGAAUUACUGGGUGUAAAGGGUGCGUAGGCGGGCAUGCAAGUCAGAUGUGAAAACUCCGGGCUCAACUUGGAGACUGCAUUUGAAACUGCAUGUCUUGAGGACGGGAGAGGUAAGCGGAAUUCCUAGUGUAGCGGUGAAAUGCGUAGAUAUUAGGAGGAACACCAGUGGCGAAGGCGGCUUACUGGACCGUAACUGACGCUGAGGCACGAAAGCGUGGGGAGCAAACAGGAUUAGAUACCCUGGUAGUCCACGCCGUAAACGAUGAUUACUAGGUGUAGGGGGUAUCGACCCCCCCUGUGCCGUAGCUAACACAUUAAGUAAUCCACCUGGGGAGUACGACCGCAAGGUUGAA
This 377-nucleotide ribosomal RNA is filed under the name uncultured bacterium. RNAcentral describes it as "bacterial SSU rRNA". It matches the Rfam family "Bacterial small subunit ribosomal RNA", at positions 523 to 898 of the family's 1533-position model. The record is from RNAcentral.